Molecule: ribosomal RNA, 468 nt
Filed under: uncultured bacterium
Lineage: Bacteria
Description: partial 16S ribosomal RNA
Rfam family: Bacterial small subunit ribosomal RNA
Source: RNAcentral
GACGAACGCUGGCGGCGUGCUUAACACAUGCAAGUCGAACGGAAAGGCCCUGCUUUUGUGGGGUGCUCGAGUGGCGAACGGGUGAGUAACACGUGAGUAACCUGCCCUUGACUUUGGGAUAACUUCAGGAAACUGGGGCUAAUACCGGAUAGGAGCUCCUGCUGCAUGGUGGGGGUUGGAAAGUUUCGGCGGUUGGGGAUGGACUCGCGGCUUAUCAGCUUGUUGGUGGGGUAGUGGCUUACCAAGGCUUUGACGGGUAGCCGGCCUGAGAGGGUGACCGGCGACAUUGGGACUGAGAGACGGAGCAGACGCCUACGGGAGGCAGCAGUGGGGAAUAUGGCACAAUGGGCGGAAGCCUGAUGCAGCAACGCCGCGUGCGGGAUGACGGCCUUCGGGGGGUAAACCGCUUUCGCCUGUGACGAAGCGUGAGUGACGGUAAUGGGUAAAGAAGCACCGGCUAACUACGUG